This 1203-nucleotide ribosomal RNA is filed under the name Triticum aestivum (bread wheat). RNAcentral's name for it is "partial small subunit ribosomal RNA". Lineage: Eukaryota; Viridiplantae; Streptophyta; Magnoliopsida; Poales; Poaceae. The record is from RNAcentral.
AUGCUGACGCUCCUCUCCCUCCGACCCCCGCCGCCCGCCGUCGCAAACAUUCUCCCCUCCGCCGCCGCCGCGCAGAGCCGUCCUCCACUGCUCCGCGCUCGCCGCACGGCCGGUCCUCCCCCGCCUUCAGCCGCCGCCGCCGAGUUCCCUGCCGGAUCGGUUCCGGGCAGCGGUACGCAGAUGCCGCCGCGCCGCCGCCGGCUCGUGGCCGGCAUCGACCAGGACGAGCUCCUCGACCCGGACGCGCUCGCGGAUCCUGACAGCAGCUUCUACGAGUUCAACGGCGUCAGGGUCCACCACAAGGUAUGCGCCCAUGGCGAGGACGAGGAUUCGGGCGGCCAGUCCUCGGGCUCCGCCGUCGCCAGGAGUCAGGCCGGGCUGCCCAUAGUGCUGCUUCACGGCUUCGGCGCGUCGGUGUUCUCCUGGAGCCGCGUCAUGCGGCCACUCGCCCGCAUCGCCGGCGCCAAGGUCCUCGCCUUCGACCGGCCGGCGUUUGGCCUGACUUCCCGGACCAGACGGUCCGGCGAUGACACCAAGCCUCUCAACCCUUACUCCAUGGCCUUCUCGGCCAUGGCCACACUGGCAUUCAUAGACCAACUCGGCCCCGGGAAGGCCGUCCUUGUUGGGCACUCUGCCGGCUGCCUCGUUGCAGUGGAGGCGUACUUCGAGGCGCCUGAGCUGGUGGUGGCGCUAGUGCUGGUUGCACCGGCGAUUUUCGCGCCGAGGAAGGGUGAGAAAGAGAACAGCGUAGGGGAGCAGGAAGGGGCAGACAAGAAGGAUUCUGAUGAUAACAAUGCAGCACCAAAUCCAUUUGCUAGGAUAUGGAGAGGGUUUCUUGGCAUGUGUAUGUGGCUUGCAGGGCUUGUUCUGAAGUUGGUCAUGGCAGUGCAGGAUACGGUCAGAGCUUUGUCUUCUAAGCUUCUUGUGGCUUUUCUACGCUCUUCAUUGGCGGCGAGUCUGGUGAGAUUGAUCAUGGAUAAAUUCGGCGUAACGGGCGUUCGUAAUGCAUGGUAUGACCCAAGCAAAGUAACUGAUCAUGUUAUUCAAGGCUACACCAAGCCACUAAGAUCCAAGGGAUGGGAGACAGCUCUCUUGGAGUACACUAUAUCCAUGAUUACAGAUUCUUCACCAAAGUCAAGAGUGCCAGUCUCGAAGAGGCUCUCUGAGAUCUCAUGCCCAGGUUCAACUAUAUGCUUCUUCUAA